RNAcentral lists this ribosomal RNA (530 nucleotides) under uncultured bacterium. RNAcentral's name for it is "bacterial SSU rRNA". It matches the Rfam family "Bacterial small subunit ribosomal RNA", at positions 777 to 1304 of the family's 1533-position model. The record is from RNAcentral.
AAUAGAUACCCUGGUAGUCCACGCCGUAAACGAUGAGUGCUAAGUGUUGGGGGUUUCCGCCCCUCAGUGCUGCAGCUAACGCAUUAAGCACUCCGCCUGGGGAGUACGGCCGCAAGGCUGAAACUCGAAAGGAAGUUGACGGGGGCCCGCACAAGCGGUGGAGCAUGUGGUUUAAUUCGAAGCAACGCGAAGAACCUUACCAGGUCUUGACAUCCCGCUGCCCGGUAUAGAGAUAUAUCUUUCCCUUCGGGGACAGCGGUGACAGGUGGUGCAUGGUUGUCGUCAGCUCGUGUCGUGAGAUGUUGGGUUAAGUCCCGCAACGAGCGCAACCCUUGAUCUUAGUUGCCAGCAUUUAGUUGGGCACUCUAAGGUGACUGCCGGUGACAAACCGGAGGAAGGUGGGGAUGACGUCAAAUCAUCAUGCCCCUUAUGACCUGGGCUACACACGUGCUACAAUGGAUGGUACAAAGGGCUGCAAGACCGCGAGGUUUAGCCAAUCCCAUAAAACCAUUCUCAGUUCGGAUUGCAGG